CGGAGGGUGCAAGCGUUGUCCGGAUUUAUUGGGUUUAAAGGGUGCGUAGGUGGCUCUAUAAGUCAGUGGUGAAAGUCUGCAGCUUAACUGUAGAACUGCCAUUGAUACUGUGGAGCUUGAGUACUGAUGAGGUAGGCGGAAUUGAUAGUGUAGCGGUGAAAUGCAUAGAUAUUAUCAAGAACACCGAUUGCGAAGGCAGCUUACUAAGGAGUUACUGACACUGAGGCACGAAAGCGUGGGGAUCAAACAGGAUUAGAUACCCUGGUAGUCCACGCCAUAAACGAUGAUUACUCGAUGUAUGCGAUAGACAGUAUGCGUCCAAGCGAAAGCGUUAAGUAAUCCAACCUGGGGAGUACGACCGCAAGGUUG
RNAcentral lists this ribosomal RNA (369 nucleotides) under uncultured organism. RNAcentral's name for it is "bacterial SSU rRNA". It matches the Rfam family "Bacterial small subunit ribosomal RNA", at positions 526 to 896 of the family's 1533-position model. The record is from RNAcentral.